CUCAUAACACAGGUUUGUGGCUUCAGGUCUGAUUUUCUAGCGGUGCAUUGACAUUGUGUGACUCCUUUCCAGUGCCAACAUAUGAGAUCGCACAAUAAAAAUUACUAAGACUUAAACCCAAGAUCACUGGUAGGCAAUAGGGACUUUUAAAAACAAUGCAAAAGAAGAUUAUUAACAUAACCUUCUGUAGUUAUUUUUAAACUCAUAUUUAAA
Pelobates cultripes (western spadefoot toad) is the source of this 213-nucleotide non-coding RNA. The record is from the annotation of a GenBank genome assembly. NCBI's taxonomy places the organism in Eukaryota, Metazoa, Chordata, Amphibia, Anura, Pelobatidae.